Molecule: long non-coding RNA, 9240 nt
Organism: Macrobrachium nipponense
Lineage: Eukaryota; Metazoa; Arthropoda; Malacostraca; Decapoda; Palaemonidae
Exons: 3
Source: RefSeq, a predicted model, not a curated record
UCUCUCUCUCUCUCUCUCUCAGAGCUGUUAGGAUGGCUCUAGUUGCCUCUUUAGACGCAUUACUUUUCCUGCUCAAAAUUUUUCUCCAUGUACGAAUAUGUGGAAUUAGGAGUUGAAGAGAGGUUUCUUUGGGGAAAAAAGUACUAUAGGAAGAUGCAUUCCAUUUAUGAAGUUAUUCAUAAUUUAGUUUUUAUAUCUGACUUUUUAGAAUCAGGGAAGGAGCAUCCCAAUAGCUUUGUCUAGAUCCUGCAUCAAGAACUGGUAAAGGGGACCUGUCUUUAAGAAGGUAAUGGAGUUGCAGAAUUUGUUCAUGCUGAUGGUUUAUAGUGUAUAUCUGGAUUAAAUUUUUAAAACUUGCUCUCUGGUAAUACUUUUCUUUCAAUACUGAGAGAAUUUGAGUUUUCCUUUUUUCUUCAUAAUAGAUAGUUGAUUUUUGUAUAGCAUAUACUAUUUAGUAAUGCUUUUGAUCUUAUUUUAAGCAGUUUCUGGAAGGAGUUUUCGUGUUGAAUAGUUGUCUGAUGUAUUCCUUGCGUUUGUAAAUUUUAUAAAAACCAGUCAGCUCCUCGUUCCCACCGUUAUCUCUAUACUAAGGGGUCAGUUGCCUGAUGCCUUUCUCUACUGCAUUCAUCUGCCAAACCUCUUCUCUCCAUAUCUUCCUUCAUUAUCUCGCCAUCUAAUUCUCUCUCUCUCUGCCUCUUGAUCAUCUUCUAGCAGGUUCUUUCCAAGCCCUCUUCACUCCCUCCUCAGUCUAUACCACCUCAGUCAUGACACUUAUUAAUCUCUGUAAUCUUUACUAAGCCUGCCUUUCUUCUUAUUUCGUCAUUUUCCAAUCUCUCAAGCAGUAAUAUUCCCAUAAUCCACCUCCUCAUUCUCAUCUCUGUUCUCUCAAGCUUUUACUUCUUUUCUUCUUAGAGUCCAUGUUUCCGAUCCAUGCAUUAACUCUGGUCUUAUCACUUGUGUUAUAUGUAUCUUGACUUUUAGCUUGAUUGGCAUUUUCUUGUCACGUAGUCCUCCAGUUAAUACUGGUUGAAUUAAAACUGGAUCUUGAGAAGAGUAAAGGGUACUGUUUAAGUUUAGAAUUUGCUGGUCAUUGAGUGUGGAAAUUGGCCCUGGAAAAAAAGAUAUUAGCUUUCUUGACUACCAUGCAGACAUGGAAGAGUAUGGGCCCUUUGGUUUUUAUGAAAUUUUAGAAGUUAUUCUAGAUUCUUGUUGGAUGAGUGGUUUAUGUGCUUGCCUAACUAUUCAGUAGUCCUGAGUUUGAUUCCCUACUCUGCCAACAUGGAACCAGAGGAAUUUGUUUCUCGUGAUUAGAAAUUAAUUUCUAGAUAUAAUGUGGUUCAAAUCCAACAGUAAGCUGUACGCCCCGUUGCUAAGUAACCAAUUGAUUCCUAGCUACAAAAAUAUUUAAUACUUCAGGAGAGCUGAUAAUCAGCUCAGUGGUCUGGUUAAACUAAGAUAUACUCAACUUAGGAUUUAUUCUUUCAUUUUUAUUACUAAUUUAUUCUCAUAUUAACCCAGUUCUUUGGUGGACAGCACAUACGGUUGUGUACCUUUUUAACAUGUAGCAUGUGGGUACUUUGUAUAAGGGGGAUGGAAUGACUCUCUCUACUUUGGUUUUGUUUAUUAUCAUGUAUGCAUUGUUUUCUUGUAUAAUGUUAAUCAUACUCUUGUUAACAGCAUAUACUUUGCAGUGUUUAGCCAUAAAACUUUGUCUGUUCAUGGGGCAAUUAAAAUAAGUUUGUCAGUGGUAGUAAAAUUUUCUUGAAAUUUUCCAUUUCUGUGAAACUGGAUUGAUUGAGGUGUGUUUUACUAGGUUAUAUGUAAGAUGGAGCCAGUUUGUCACGAGAUGAGCAUUAUUUGAAUGAAAAUUAUUCGUCUGAUAUGUGUAUGGCCAGCUAAUACAUUUCUUUGCUUAGAAAUUGGGUACUUGGAUGUUGAUUGAGUAAGUUUUGAAAUAAGUGAUUUUCUACAGAUUUUGUAGAUCCUGGUUCCUUGGUAUGUAUUUUGCUUUUAUUGGAGUUACUAAAGCCUUUGGCCCCAUCACUUUCAAUGAUCAGGUGGGUUCAAAAAAGAAGCUUCUGCCUUUCUGGAUUCCCAUCUCUUCACAGAUAAUAAUACUGGGGCUAUUGGUGUUUUUAUUCAUCAUUCAAGAUUUUUUUGAAAGUGGUAUCUAUGAUGUUGGUAGAUAACUUUCAUGUAGACCUGGGUAAGCAUUUUACUGUUUUAAAGUAUAUGCAUCUUCAUGAAAUAAGGUGAUUACAAGAUUGAGGUCUUGAGGAAAGAACAUCUUGUUAGAGGUCACCUGUAGUACUCCAAGGAAGAAUUUUCUUUCUUGGGGUAUCAGCCAUUCUCUGAGGUAAUUGGGAAUGGUAUCUUCCAUUGUUUUCUCUUUUUUUAGGAAAGGUUCCAACACACUCAGAUUAUGGUGGAGUGUCAGUACUGGUGGCCAAGCCUUACUAAUAUUUGAAUAGUUUGCAAUGGGUACAAAAUUUACAACUAUGAGAAAUUUAGUAGUGUAUGAGACUGCCGGCUUCAUCUGCAAGCCUUGGACAUCACAGUAAAACAAGCCCGGUACACGUAACUGUUUAGCUGUUUGAAUGAGACAAGCAUGUUAGUUAUCUGGCUAAGAAACACUGAAUGGAUGUGAGGAUUUGUAAACUUGUAUUUCAGGAUUUACUUUGUUUCAGUAACUUCUCACAAGACUUUAGCUUUCUUAGUUUUUGUGACUUCCAGUACAUUAUGUAUAUAAGUUUGUUUGCAAAUUUUAUAAGUAAAUUUUAUGAGUAAAGACAAAAAACAAAGUGGGCGGGAAGCUAGGACAGAUUUUGAUUGGACAAGGGCAACCAGCUUUACAAUUUAAAGUGAAAAAGACAUUACAGAAAGAUAUUGUGACAUUGAAGUUUAUACAAUAAAUAGGCAGAAAGGUUGAAAUUCAUUAAGUGCCCAUAGAGCUCACUGACUGUCCCGAGACCGGGUUGUAUGUAGUUUAAGGCCUUUUAUGAGCUUUACCUUCCUGCCACUUUCAGUCAUAGCAGCUUCAUUUCUUGUUAAUUUUCUUUUGAACGUUGUGCUUCUAGUAUAGUUUAUAAUUUUCUCACAUGGACAUUUACUUAUAUUGAAACUUUCACAGCAGUUUAGUGACCUCCUGGGCUUUGUAAAAUGUUUCAUCAAAAGUCUGCCUUAUAUAUAUAAAAAAAAAAAACAUUGCAACACCUUAAAAGGAACUUAAGUUGUCUCAAUUGCCUUUGAAGUUGUAACAUCUAAUUCCAUCCAGAAUAGUGCGCCUAGGCAUAUUGUUUAGAAGCUUAAUAACUGCAUUACAUGCUCAUGUGCAGAGGAGUUCUUCGUGAUAAUUCUGCAGUGGCUUAGUUUUUGAGUAAGGGACCUAAAUGAUUGUUGUACUGUUCCCUCCUUAACCUUAGACAUUUUUACCUAAGUUCUUCGAUUCCCUUUAUGAUUUCAAAAUGUAACUUGUUUAUUAUUUUGGAUCUUUGCCUUUGUGGUUCUCUUGUAGAGUAUUUUGAAUAGUUUUUUCUUCUUUAUAAUAAGUGAUUACUGCUCCCAGUUAUUCAAGUCACCAACCUUCUGCUGGUAUCUGGCCAAAGUGGGCUUCAUACCUUGCUUGUAAAAGUUGACUGCAGUGAUCUCGAGACUAUCAGUGAGUACAAGCAAAUGAAGUUUUGCUCAACUAGAGAAGGUUUUCAGCACUUAAUCUGAUCUGUCAUGGUACACAUUUUGAUUGUUUCUGAUCUGUCAUGGUACACAUUUUGAUUGUUUCAACAAAUUUUGGAUCUUCUACUAUAUUGUUUAGGUAGAUUCUGAAUAAUGUUCAAUGAACAUUUGUAUUUUGGGUCAGCAAUCAUUGUUUAGAUAUUCCAGAUUUCAUUAGACUUUUUUUGAGAAUAUAAAUUUGUUGAUACGUUGAAUUUAAUGGAAAUGUAGCAUUUAUUGACUCCACACUAAGAGAAAUGAUUAUGUAUUUAGUUUUUUCAUUCAUUUUACCCAGUACCAAGGGUCUUUGCUAGGUGUCCCACCUAAAGUUUAUGAACUGUAACAGGAUAUGUUUAGCUUUGUACCUUUUAUUACCUUUGUUCUCGUUCCUUUUAAGUAAGUAACCUGACAAACAUUUCCAGCUUUUUAGUUGCACCUUUUCCAUGAAGUUUGUCCUUACUCACAUCAAAGUUGUAUGAUUUUCAAGUUUAUUUUUGGUAGUCCUUUGUUUUAAGAUUACAGUAUAGCUAUUUGCAACUUCGAAGCUUGCUGUGGAUAUGAAUAUUUGUUUCUGAACCAGAAUUCUGUAUUUUUUUUUUUUUUUUUUUUUUUUUUUUUUUUUUUUUUUUUUUUUUUUUUUUUUUUUUUUUAUUGAUAUUAAAUUUUAAGCUGAACCAGCUUUUUGGUUUUUAUAUUUACUGUUUUGUUUGCAGAGUGCAAUGCUACCUGAACUGGAUUAGUUUUUUCAUGUUUUCUAUGGGAAUCUUUUUCACAGCUUAUGCAAUAGAGUUUGAACCUAAGUUGACUGUAGAACAAGGAUUUUAGUAUACCAUGUUAAAUACUCAUAUGCUGUAUCCAAUAUUUCUUGCUUUUUUCAGGAAAAUGGUUCAGUUUGUGACUUGAUGGUUAGGGUAGUGGUGCCAAUUUAUUAUUGCCCUUUGUCAUAGACUUUCAUUUUUUGGUGUGUUUUAUUGUUACCUUUUUAUGGAUCAGUAAUGAUAUAUCUUGUUCUUUAUAGGUUUUCCAGUUAUAGGAAAUCCUUAGUUCUAUUUUGUUAUCAGCAAAGAUAAAAGUUAUUCUCUUUCAGGUAAAUAAGUGACAGUGCAUCCAUUUUAUCAAUGUAUUACUCUAUAUUACUAAUUUCACCUAUUAUAUUCCAUGAUUUUUUUAUGUGCUUUAAGUUGUAGUUUUCUGUUUACAUAAUUUGUUUUGUAAAUUAUGAUUAAUUUUCAUCCUCUCUCUCUCUCUCUCUCUCUCUCUCUCUCUCUCUCUCUCUCUCUCUCUCUCUCUCUCUCUCUCUCUCUCUCUCUCCCCAACUACUAUAUAUUAUGAUAGACUUGGACAUUGUGGUUGUAAUUUUUUUUUUCCAAGUGUCACAAACUUUGAUAUUGUUGUCAGUUACAUUAACAUGAUUUUCCCGUGUUUUUCUACGGGAAAAAUGCAUGUCUUACAGUCAUCAAGUUGCAUUAUGACCAACUUAUUUGCAGUUGUAGUGCAUUGCUUAGUUUCUCUUAUUGUGGAAUUUGCAGCAUUGCAAACAAAAUACAAGUCUCAUAGUGGUUUCUCCUCAGCAUUUUUAUCUAAUGUAACGUGUUUGUUUAUAGGAAUAUAUGUAUGUUUCUGUCCAUUGUUGUUUGCUAAUUGAUUCGUGUUUGUCUUUUUGUCUGGUAACUUGUUUGACCUGUGUCUUUAAAUGAUUGAUUGUGGUUUACUUUGAAAAAGAAAGAAUUUUUUAUCUUGGAAUCAUGUGAGAAUAUAAAUUUGAGUUAAAUCUUGUGUACACAAAGAUAGUUACUGUAUUUCUGGGUUUGUAGUUAAAAUUUCCAGGUGUUGAUGAAUUCUUAUUGAGAAGCAAUAGCUUUUGCACAGGUAUUGUGUAAUGAAUUAUAUUGGCUAAAUAAAAGGAGUCUAAAACAUUAUGUAAAAGAUGCUUGAAGGUGGUUUUGAAAUGCUCAAGGUUCAGACCAAGGAAUAUAUCAGGUAAUAAUGUGCAUGAUUAGAACUUUUGUUGGCCAGUGUCAGGACUUGUGGUCAGUUAUGUGUAUCCCAAUAUUACAGAAUCAUUCAUUUGUCAAGCAGGACCAGUGCUUUGUUCCGAUUAGAAAUUAUAGGCACUUUAAUCAAUUACUGAAGUGCCUUUCUUUUGAUACAAGUAUUGCAAGGGUUAUGGGAUACAAUAUUUGAGAUAUUGAUUUAAGAACCAUAAUUGACAUAAAAACAAUUUUGUUUGAGUUACAUGUAAUACUUUCAUGUAAUACUUUGUGUUUAAUUCUAAAAGAAAAAUGAAAUAAAAUCCCUUAAGGAAAAUUUGUCAGAAUCUUAAAUCUCUCAGGUUAUCAAGUUAUUACUUUUAAAUACAUUAUAACUUCAUAAUAUUAAUGUGUAAGUGAAGAGCUGCAAUUAAAUAAGAUUAAAUGAUUAAAUCUAUCAUGAAAAGUAUUUGGGCCAGCUUCCUUCAAUAUAAGAAUUUUAACUUGGUGGUCUGAUUAAGCUUUUUAGUGCUUCAUGAUUUGAGAGGGUGAUGUUAAGUCAAAUAUUGUGAACCAUGUGCAAAUUACCAGACUGCAAAGGACUUGCUAUUUAUUGGUUAUAAAUGAGUUUAGCGAAACCUAAUGAAUCACAUACUCGUAGGACUCUCCAAAAUAUUUUGUUCUUAAAGGGCGGGUGAAUGUCAAGAUGAAGUAUGACAGAUAAGUGGUUUUAGAGACCAAAGGUAAUGGAUGAAAAGCAAAAAGCAGUACAUUUGGAGACACCACAGAACAAUUCAGUACUGCUAGCAGUAUGGCAUGCAAGGCAUACUGUAACUGCCAUUGUGAGGGGUUCAAGGUCAAGCUGAUGCUUGAACUCCUCAAAUUUUUUACAAAAGCCUUUAAUUGCCCUCUGAUUAUAUAGGAACAUUUUAAAAAAUUUUAGUAAAGGAGGUAGAAUUGCUCUUUUGCACAAAUUGCUUUUCUUUUGAAAAUUGCAUUACGAGUUACUGACCUUUUGUUUUGAUCUUUUUAGUAAUUUGAAUAGUUGAAGAGUAAAAUCAUAUCAGCAAAGGUGUCUUUCAGCAGUUUUUGUUCUUCCCUCAUACUUUUGCUAUUUAGCCCUGUGCUAAAUAUGACCUUUGUGUAAUGUUGCUGUUUACUGUUCAGUUUAAAGCAAUUGGCCUUGCUUCUGGCAUUCUUACUCUGUUAAAGGAAGAUUUUUUGUAACAGCUAAACUCACAAGAGCACUUAGAGAUACCUCAAACUGUUCAAGUUAUCUAACUUUUAAUUCACAUAUUUUCCUAUUGUCAAUGAUUUUGAACUGGUAUUUUGUUGCCAUUGAUUUUUGACAAGUACUUGGUGUGUACAUUAUGGAAUGGUUGGUACUUUAUUUGGAACUUUAUUUAGUAUGGGUAAUUUUUACAACAUUGUCUUCUUGAUUGAAUGUUUCAUAUCGUGCUGAUUAAAAAUAUUUUGGAUGUAAAUAUGGAAGGAUGUCUGGUAUUCAUUUUGCAAGGUUGAACUUUUUAAAAAUGUGAUGCAGCGUCAUUCAGUGGAAAAUGGAUAGUUGGUGUUUAAAGUAUACUAUUAGUUUUUUUCAGCUGGUGAAAUGAAGUAUGGCAUUUUUAUAUCUUCCAAAAGUUCGGCACAUCCAAUGUCUUUCUUUGAAACUAAACUCAUUGAUUAUGCUGUAGUAAUUGCAGUUACUAGGCUUAUGGAUUUGUAAUUUAUGGUAAUGCUGCAUUUGGAAGGGAAAACUGAAUGUUGUUACUUACGGUUGCUGUUGAAAAACGUGACUUUCAAGUCUGGAAAUAUUAUAUUCAAAGGCUGUUCUUAACAAUAUUUUAAGAAAAUAGGAUGUGUUGCUGUGUACAACCUAAUCGAAUGAUUUCAAGUGAAGUGAUCUAGCAUGGUCUUGUUACACAGGUGGCUAUUCUAUUUUGAAGUGUUGAAAUGGUAAUUCUCUUGAAGUAUAUGUGCAAUGGAGAGGUGUCAAAAGUGCUCAGUUUGAUCAUAAAAAAACUUGUACAUGGACUUUCUUGUUAACCCUGGCUGAAGCUUGCAGAUUUUGCCCAUAAUACAAAAGAUGCUGAUAAUCAUGUGGCCAACCUUCUGAAGUACUGUGUGAUGUUUCAUCCUUUCCUUGGGCUAAUGAAUGACUUGGGUUUGUGAUUUAUGAGUUCACUUGAUUUAUGGCAGAAAAUUUUGUGACUAUAGGAGUUGGGUAAGUGUCUUUUUGAUGUCUUAUUUGUUUUUGACCUGUGAAGUGAUCCUGAUACUAAGAUUUUAGCACCUCAAGCAUUUUGGGCAUGUCCAGUGUAUUUCGAGCAUCACAAGUUUUCACCUGAAGUCAUUUGGGCACGUCAACUGUGGUGGUGCUUCAGGUCUGUGAACAUGUUAUGGUGUUCGUUCACUUAAGUGGGUGUCGACGGGAUUGGCCAUUAUGCAAUGAUGAGCAAGAUUUAGUUAUUGUAUGGACUACGUAGAAGCAGGCAAUUAACCCUCAAUGAAUCUACACUAGACACUAUGGGGCCCCUUGAGUUUGCUGUGAGGUAUACACUGACCUUGGGAAGAGAAAGAAGCCAAGAAAUAUUUAUUAGAGCAGGAAGGUAAAUGUUGGCCUAAGGGUUUUAAUUUCCCUUAAAUCGACUUUGGAGUCGACUACAAAGUCAAGUGGUUCUACGAGACAUAAGCAGAGCAGAACAGAUCCUGCUCUUAUUCCUCACUGGAAGUUGGGAGUAUAUUCCUUUUAUCUACAAAGACUGAUUUAAUCCAUUAAGUUUGGUCAUUUCAGUAAACUAAUUUUAAUGCACAUCAAAGGUCACUUUUAACAAAAUUUUAAUGCAGUAUAUUAGUAAGUUGACAUUUUAGUAAAUGAAUUUUAAAUGCAUAUCAAAAGGUACUUAAUUAUAGUUUAAUUUUAAUUCUAUUUUGUAGAAAUUGGUCAUUUUAAUCAAUGAAUUUUAAUGCAUAUCAAACUGUUACUGUCAGUUUAAUUUUAAUUAUUUUGUAGUAAUUGGUCAUUUUAAUCAAUGAAUUUUAAUGCAUAUCAAACUGUAAAUGUCAGUAUUUCAAGUUUUAAUUCAUUCAAGCUUAUUAAAUGUCCCCAAACAUAGUUUACAAAUCGUUUAUGUUACUAGUUCCUGGAUCAAAUUAAGAGUAGAUAAACUUUAUUAUUUAACCUGUAAAACUUAAUGGUAGAUAUCUUCAAUUGCAUCCAACACCUGUUUCGCAAGGUCCUUCAGUCAUGAUAUCCUGUUAUAUAUAAUACUAAGACCUAAAGGCACCUUUUGUUUUUAUGUCCAGUCUCCUCCAAUUAUAAUUGAAUGGCUUGAAUGAAGAACAAUGUUUCCUAGGAUUUAAUGAUUGCGUUAAUCAGAGAGGGGACACUAGAACACUAGCAGGAUAAGACAAGAAAAGUACAUGAGCAGCAGCUUCUCUCCUGCAUCUGUAUAAGUAUAGCACAGCAGUUGUGCUAGGACUGACAAGCAAAUUAUUAACUGUAGAAUGACUUGCAUGAUCUAUGCCAUAAUUGCAGUUGGACCAAUUAUCAUCAGUG